This 498-nucleotide ribosomal RNA is filed under the name uncultured bacterium. Its description in RNAcentral is "partial 16S ribosomal RNA". It matches the Rfam family "Bacterial small subunit ribosomal RNA", at positions 30 to 523 of the family's 1533-position model. The record is from RNAcentral.
AUUGAACGCUGGCGGCAUGCCUUACACAUGCAAGUCGAACGGUAACAGGUCUUCGGAUGCUGACGAGUGGCGAACGGGUGAGUAAUACAUCGGAACGUGCCUAGUAGUGGGGGAUAACUACUCGAAAGAGUGGCUAAUACCGCAUGAGAUCUACGGAUGAAAGCAGGGGAUCGCAAGACCUUGUGCUACUAGAGCGGCCGAUGGCCGAUUAGGUAGUUGGUGGGAUAAAAGCUUACCAAGCCGACGAUCUGUAGCUGGUCUGAGAGGACGAUCAGCCACACAGGGACGGAGACAAGGCGCAGACUCCUACGGGAGGCAGCAGUGGGGAAUUUUGGACAAGGGGCGAAAGCCUGGUCCAGCAAUGCCGCGUGCAGGAUGAAGGCCUUCGGGUUGUAAACUGCUUUUGUACGGAACGAAAAGCCCCGGGUUAAUACCCUGGGGUCAUGACGGUACCGUAAGAAUAAGCACCGGCUAACUACUUGCCAGCCGCCGCAGUAA